CUCUGAAGAGAGAGUCAAAGACCGUGAAACCGCUCAGAGUAUAAGCCAAUGGAGCUUGGAAGGCUUCCGCAGAUAUCGUUCACCCUGGCAGUGUCCUUGAGACCUUGAGUGUGGCUCGUCAGACGUAGCAUUGAGUUUGCCCGACAGUUGUCGUGCGGGGGGUUCAGUCUGUCGGACUUUGGCUUCGGCUGAAGGGCUCUUCAGGCUGUCCCCUUUUGAAUGGACGUUCAGAACAGCUUGGUCUAAUGCGGUUAUGCCCACCACAGCACGUUGUGAGGUCACCCACAGGCUCAAACUGCCGAUCGCGAUCCCAGGACGAUGGCAACGAUGCGUAGUCGAAGAUGAUUUCUCACACGAGAUUCACACUCUCACACGCGUGUCUAGUCCUGGGUCGGGCGGCGACCGAGAUAAACCUGGUACGAUCCUCUUGCGACGAGCUGCUUUCUGGCCAGACCGACGCCCAGGCGCUUCCACUGUGCCGGAAGCGUCAAUCCCAGGCGGUGUGAACCCAGCUGCAUUAUGCAAGGUCUCUCAGCCGGGCGUUGGUCUGAGUGGUGUUAAGUCCAGCACCAUCGGUCACGUCUCGAAACACGGGCCAAGGAGUAUAGCAUGUGUGCAAGUCUAAGGGUCCCAUAAAACCCGCAGGCGAAGUGAAAGCGAGACUGUGGCGGGGGAGCCACGGCAAACCCGCCAAGCCUGGUGGCGCUUGCGUCACCGGCUUCUAACAGAGCUGAUCCUGUUUUCUCGGUUGAUUCUUGGUGCAGGCGCAAGCUCCGGGCUCACGUACAGCACUGGUCACGUUUCGGCGUGGCUGUGUUGUGAGCACCGUGAGCAUGCAU
Molecule: ribosomal RNA, 839 nt
Filed under: Niphargus subtypicus
Lineage: Eukaryota; Metazoa; Arthropoda; Malacostraca; Amphipoda; Niphargidae
Description: partial 28S ribosomal RNA
Rfam family: Eukaryotic large subunit ribosomal RNA
Source: RNAcentral